RNAcentral lists this long non-coding RNA (993 nucleotides) under Prunus persica (peach). RNAcentral's name for it is "long non-coding RNA (PPER_LNC005779)". Lineage: Eukaryota; Viridiplantae; Streptophyta; Magnoliopsida; Rosales; Rosaceae. The record is from RNAcentral.
UGAGGGUGCGGAAAAUGGUCUUGAGUUUACCAUUGUGAGACCCUUCAACUGGAUUGGACCUAGAAUGGAUUUCAUUCCUGGGAUUGACGGCCCAAGUGAGGGUGUUCCAAGAGUUCUAGCCUGCUUUAGUAAUGUAUGUGCGAUGUUAGUUGUAAUAUUCCCUAUUUAUUUGGUAUUUCAUAUUUGUGUUGUGAUCACAUCCUGCUUUCUCUGUUGCAGAAUCUUCUUCGACGUGAGCCACUCAAGCUUGUAGAUGGUGGCCAAUCCCAGAGAACUUUUGUGUACAUAAAGGAUGCUAUUGAAGCUGUUAUGUUGAUGAUUGUAAGUUAUAAGAAAAACAUCUCUCUUUUCAAAUUAAUAUUUAGCAUGCAAAAGAAGUUGCUCAUCAAUGUGACAUCUUCCUCAGGAAAAUCCUGCUAGGGCCAAUGGCCACAUUUUCAAUGUUGGCAACCCUAACAAUGAAGUUACCGUCAGGCAGCUUGGUGAAAUGAUGACUGAGGUGAAGAAUUGUCUUUGAUAUACCCUUUUUUCUUUAGUUUAUUAAGUUGGAUUAGCAGUCCUAUAUUUGGAUAUGAGGAUUGAUGUUCUUGCAUAUUGCAGGUCUAUGUUAAGGUAAGUGGUGAAUCAAAACUGGAGACACCAACCAUCGAUGUAAGCUCUCAAGAAUUCUAUGGAGUGGGAUAUGAUGAUAGUGACAAGAGAAUUCCUGACAUGACUAUUAUCAAUAAGCAGCUUGGUAUAUAUCUUUCUUGUACCCCAUCUUUAAUGUAAAUGAGCUCUGACUUUACGGCAUUCUAACUAUGUAAUGUGACAGGCUGGAACCCGAAGACUUCGCUAUGGGACCUGCUUGAAUCAACCCUCACCUAUCAGCAUAGGACAUAUGCCGAAGCUGUCAAGAAGGCCAUCUCCCAAGCAUCUGCUACAAGCUAAAUGAGUAUGGCUUUGGGAGGAUUCUUGCUUAGGUGUGCUGUUGUUUGACAGGUGUUCAAAAUU